GGGCAUCGGUGACAGGUGGUGCAUGGUGGUCGUCAGCUCGUGUCGUGAGAUGUUGGGUUAAGUCCCGCAACGAGCGCAACCCUUACGGUUAGUUGAUACAUUGAGUUGAUCACUGUAGCCGGACUGCCGUUGACAAAACGGAGGAAGGUGGGGACGACGUCAAAUCAUCAUGCCCCUUAUGACCUGGGCUACACACGUACUACAAUGGCAGUCAUACAGAGGGAAGCAAUAUGGUGACAUGGAGCAAACCCCUAAAAGCUGUCCCAGUUCAGAUUGCAGGCUGCAACCCGCCUGCAUGAAGUCGGAAUUGCUAGUAAUCGCGGAUCAGCAUGCCGCGGUGAAUACGUUCCCGGGCCUUGUACACACCGCCCGUCACACCAUGAGAGCCGGUAAUACCCGAAGUCCGUAGCCGAACCGCAAGGAGGGCGCGGCCGAAGGUAGGACUGGUAAUUAGGGUGAAGUCGUAACAAGGUAGCCGU
Molecule: ribosomal RNA, 479 nt
Filed under: uncultured bacterium
Lineage: Bacteria
Description: bacterial SSU rRNA
Rfam family: Bacterial small subunit ribosomal RNA
Source: RNAcentral